Molecule: ribosomal RNA, 429 nt
Filed under: Gemmatimonadota bacterium
Lineage: Bacteria; Pseudomonadati; Gemmatimonadota
Description: Gemmatimonadetes bacterium partial 16S ribosomal RNA
Rfam family: Bacterial small subunit ribosomal RNA
Source: RNAcentral
UAGGGAAUCUUCGGCAAUGGACGAAAGUCUGACCGAGCAACGCCGCGUGAGUGAAGAAGGUUUUCGGAUCGUAAAACUCUGUUGUUAGAGAAGAACAAGGACGUUAGUAACUGAACGUCCCCUGACGGUAUCUAACCAGAAAGCCACGGCUAACUACGUGCCAGCAGCCGCGGUAAUACGCAGGUGGCAAGCGUUGUCCGGAUUUAUUGGGCGUAAAGCGAGCGCAGGCGGUUUCUUAAGUCUGAUGUGAAAGCCCCCGGCUCAACCGGGGAGGGUCAUUGGAAACUGGGAGACUUGAGUGCAGAAGAGGAGAGUGGAAUUCCAUGUGUAGCGGUGAAAUGCGUAUAUAUAUGGAGGAACACCAGUGGCGAAGGCGGCUCUCUGGUCUGUAACUGACGCUGAGGCUCGAAAGCGUGGGGAGCAAACAGG